Xiphias gladius (swordfish) is the source of this 1183-nucleotide long non-coding RNA. RefSeq lists it as uncharacterized. The record is from RefSeq and is a predicted model, not a curated record. The transcript has 3 exons. NCBI's taxonomy places the organism in Eukaryota, Metazoa, Chordata, Actinopteri, Istiophoriformes, Xiphiidae.
CCAUACAAUCUCGAAGAAGAAAAAGAAGAAUAAGGUGGUGACCCCAGGGGGUCAAUGUUGAGACUGAAGCUUCGGUCCUCCUUGAUCGUCCAAUCUUUGUGAAACUUUGUGAAAUCUGUGUUAAGACCGGAACAUUUUCUGCUGGAGUGAACUGAGUGGCUGAUGCAGUUAACUGGAAGCCUGAACUCCAAACACUCAGACCACGUCCACAUGAAGCCAUCUAAAUGUUUACAACUCGAUCUUUGUCCAGACUAACAGAGUAUCCAGGUGGUUCUACUAGAGAGCUCUGUCCACAGUCAUACACCUGAACAAAAGAAAAACAGUUAAAUCUCUUCUUCUCGUCCUCUUUUCAGUUAAAGAAAACAUGGUGAGGAGUGAGACAGUCUGUUAAACCUGCAUUCAGUCUCCUGUUCUCUGUGAUUACCCUCAUUGUGUUUUAAUGCAGAUCAAUGCAACGUGUAGUUGUUCUCAAUUACAGAUUUUUCUGUUUCUGUUCUCAGAUAAUGAAUCAGGAUGAAACAGUGAUUUAAUCUCAAAAACAAUACGUGUUAACCAACAGUCAUUCCCAAGCUUGGAUACAACUAAAUCUAUGAUCGAUCACAGACAAAGUUAGAGACAACAGAGCCUACAGUUUAGCAUUAACACACUCUGGUUCUGGAAAAACUCAGUUUUAGUCUGGAUGGAGGAAAAAGAUGUUUACAAAUGUAACCAGUUUAAUGUGGACGUACUCUGAGGAUUGAAGUCAGAGUAAAUACCGUCUGACAAGAGGAGAACAUCUGGAGGAGGAGCAGGAGGAGCAGGAGGAAGGAGGACAGCGGUCGUGGGAGAGUGUGGCUGAUGUGCGCAUUCCAGGAAUAUUUCAUUCCUCCUAGGACAAACUGUUUGAACUCUGAUCUGAGUUCAGAUUUACAGACAUGAGAGCAGCUGAAGAGCAGCAGAGCACUAAUCUCAGUUUGUAUGUUUACCUGUUCCUGUUUACAUAUUUACACAUUUAAAUAUUAUAGAACAGCACAUAAAACAUUAUUAUGAUUUACUUUGAAUUAAAGUGUUCCUCUGGUGUUAUUCUAUAUCGGCCUUAGCAUUAAAUCUCAUUUUCCGACUCAAACCAAUAGUGUGUUACUUUCUGACUUCCCUCCUCUGUUUGUGGCUCUCAGCUCCAAGCACAUUGGUUCCUACUGAAGAU